Molecule: long non-coding RNA, 454 nt
Organism: Nicotiana attenuata
Lineage: Eukaryota; Viridiplantae; Streptophyta; Magnoliopsida; Solanales; Solanaceae
Exons: 2
Source: RefSeq, a predicted model, not a curated record
UUCACAAUGAUGAGAAAACAAAUAAAGCAAUGUUUCUAGUACCCAAUUGAAUGACUAAAAUUUGCUUGAUUGUCGCUGGAUGUGUUCAGUGCACGUGAUUUAAAAUUUCUGAAUUGAUGUAGCUAUUGCUGUAUGAAAAUUUUCGAUAGAUCAGCGGGGAGUUAACAGUAUACAUCAUGAAGGAUUUUUUGCUUUCUGGUUCAAUGCUGAAGUUGAUGGAUCCAUUGGUGAAUCAGACUACCCAAAAAUGGUUCUAAGAAACGGUAAGAACUUUCACCUUUUCUGGACAUUUUUAUUUAUCGAGAGGGAGGGCACGCAACAGCGUGGUGGCGGAGGAAAACCUUAAGCUGCUGUUCGUUUUGUUUCCUUAUUAGCAAUAUAUUGUCUUGUUUGAAGACACUGUAAACGACCAUCAUUUACAAUAGUUACAUCUGCAGACAGAAGUUUCUCGUAA